GAGACAGCAGUCGCCACGGUAAUACGAAGGGGGCUAGCGUUGCUCGGAAUUACUGGGCGUAAAGGGCGCGUAGGCGGCGCUCCAAGUUAGGCGUGAAAUUCCCGGGCUCAACCUGGGGACUGCGCUUAAGACUGGAGUGCUUGAGGAUGGAAGAGGGUUGUGGAAUUCCCAGUGUAGAGGUGAAAUUCGUAGAUAUUGGGGAGAACACCGGUGGCGAAGGCGGCAACCUGGUCCAUUACUGACGCUGAGGCGCGAUAGCGUGGGGAGCAAACAGGAUUAGAUACCCCAGUAGUCCCUGUCUCUUAUAC
RNAcentral lists this ribosomal RNA (308 nucleotides) under uncultured bacterium. RNAcentral's name for it is "partial 16S ribosomal RNA". It matches the Rfam family "Bacterial small subunit ribosomal RNA", at positions 505 to 807 of the family's 1533-position model. The record is from RNAcentral.